Molecule: long non-coding RNA, 169 nt
Organism: Pseudomyrmex gracilis
Lineage: Eukaryota; Metazoa; Arthropoda; Insecta; Hymenoptera; Formicidae
Exons: 2
Source: RefSeq, a predicted model, not a curated record
UCUCCGCAAAUUUAAAGGUCCAACUUCUCUCCAAACUCUGCGAGGACCUGUGUGUUAUUAUGCGAAGAAGCUGGGGUAAGCUAGAAGUGUAUGUUGAGAAGGAAGUCUCCGAGAGAUAAACAACAAAGAUUCGAAAAAAAAAAAAAAAAAAAAAAAAAAAAAAAAAAAA